CGUAUGAUAGCGCAGCCAGCCCGCGUCGCAUCAGGCCUGACGCCGGCGGCCUGUGUUACAACACAGCGACAAACCUCCUCACCGGUAUUU
Molecule: non-coding RNA, 90 nt
Filed under: unclassified sequences
Description: Peptidase-S11 RNA
Rfam family: Peptidase-S11 RNA
About the family: Enterobacteria. Environment (Termite gut, fungus grower)
Source: RNAcentral